RNAcentral lists this ribosomal RNA (505 nucleotides) under uncultured bacterium. Its description in RNAcentral is "partial 16S ribosomal RNA". It matches the Rfam family "Bacterial small subunit ribosomal RNA", at positions 28 to 507 of the family's 1533-position model. The record is from RNAcentral.
GACGAACGCUGGCGGCGUGCCUAAUACAUGCAAGUAGAACGCACAGUUUAUACCGUAGCUUGCUACACCAUAAACUGUGAGUUGCGAACGGGUGAGUAACGCGUAGGUAACCUGCCUGGUAGCGGGGGAUAACUAUUGGAAACGAUAGCUAAUACCGCAUAAUAUUGAUUGUUGCAUGAUAAUUGAUUGAAAGAUGCUAUUGCAUCACUACCAGAUGGACCUGCGUUGUAUUAGCUAGUAGGUGAGGUAACGGCUCACCUAGGCGACGAUACAUAGCCGACCUGAGAGGGUGAUCGGCCACACUGGGACUGAGACACGGCCCAGACUCCUACGGGAGGCAGCAGUAGGGAAUCUUCGGCAAUGGACGAAAGUCUGACCGAGCAACGCCGCGUGAGUGAAGAAGGUUUUCGGAUCGUAAAGCUCUGUUGUAAGAGAAGAACGGGUGUGAGAGUGGAAAGUUCACACUGUGACGGUAUCUUACCAGAAAGGGACGGCUAACUACGUG